CUCAGGUCCUCCAGGGGAUCGGGAGAGGCACAGCUCUCCUGGGGAAAUGGAUGAGGCAUCGCUAUGAGACGCCUGGUUAUUUUUGCUUCCUGCCUGGGUGUGGGUGUUUGUGUUGACAGCGGCGGGGGAGGCGCAGUGACGAGCGCUGGAACACUCGGGUGCCCGUGGAGCAGGUGGGAGGUGGCGCCUGUGCCGGGCAGGUGACUUGGCGCUCACGUGGCCCUUGGGACUUUGCAGGACUCUGGGAGAAGUGGAUUUGCUCCUCUGUGCUGGGGGUCCCAUUCUGUCUGCUAUGGCACGUGCAGAGGGGCUGCCUGAUGCCACCCCCAGCGCACCUACGGGGUGCAGUGGUGGCUCCCUAAGUGGGUACUUCUUGCUGUGGUGUCGGCCCAUCUCAGCAGUAGGCUUUAGUGGGGGGUGCUCUCUAUUCCCCGUAAUCACCGUCAAAUAUACUCCUGGUGUAUUCAGACGUAACUCUGGAGGAAAAUCAGCGUGCUUGCUCUGACACUCUUUGGGCUGGGGUCUCACCUCACUGCUGACUCCACUAGAAUGUGUGUGUUCGUUAUGUUGGGCCAGCGUGAAUUAUUAGCAUUUAGCCCAGUUUUCUAAACGUCCUGCAAUGUGUCAUACCCCAAAUGCCAGUAGUGUCCCCAUUGCCCACCUAUAGGGAUAAUCUGGAACUGCCCUGCUGGGUUAGUUGCGGAAGCUCCCCUGGGGGUAUUGAAACCCAGGCACCUACUUAGCCAACAGGUUCAGAAAUUGAGAUUCAGGUCAACAGGCCUGAAUCCUAAGUGGUCAUUUGGUUAGAAAUUUCGAGAUGAAAAUCUAUAGUUCUCUAUUUUUUUCUCUCUCUCCCCUCCCCACCCCAAGAAAAGGUGCACAAGAAUUCCAGCCUGGGCUUUUUCCACAUGCCCCACCCCCCGUAUUAGUUUCCUAGGGCUGCAGUGACAAAGUACCAUAAACUGGGUGAUUUAGAACAACGCAGAUUUAUUCUUCCACAAUUUGGGAGGGUAGAAGUCCAAAAUCAAGAUGUUGGUAGGAUCAUGCUCCCUCUGAAGGCUCCAGGGAAGAAUCCUGUCUUCCUUCUUCCUAGUUUCUGGUGGCUCCCAUAAUUCUUAAGUGUCCUCUGCUUGUUGCUGCACCAGUGCAGUCUCUGCCUCCAUCUUCAUACAUCCUUACCCUGGGUCUGUCUCUGUCUCCAAAUUACUCUCUGAUAAAGACACUGGCCAUUGGAAUAGGGCCCACCCUAAUCCAGUAUGACCUCGUCUUAACUUGAUCAUCUGCAAAGAGCGUAUUUCCCAAUAAGGUCACAUUCACAGGUACCGGGGUUGGGACUUCAGCAUAUCUAGGGGGUGUAUUUGGGGGGCACAAUUGAACCCACAGCACACCUCCACCACUGCCAUUGCAUGGCCGCUCUGAAAUGCCUUCCGGUAAUAUGAUUGAUGUUGGAGGCUGUGCUUCCUGCAUCAAUUUUGUUAUUGCCUGUCUGUUUCUUCCUUUCUUCAUUUGGGCUCAGAGUCAUUCUUUUGAUUAAGUGCCCCCCCCACCACCCGCCCCGUUCCCCACUAAAUCUUUUUAGUCAUUAUUCUCUGCUGUGUCGAGCCUGUGAUGACAAAACUCUUCUGUCUGGACAUUUCUGUUCUGUACCUUUCAAGGGGUGGUGCACAUUCUCCUAAGAUGCUGCGUGGCCCUCACCAUGGAGACAAAAGCAGAUAUUUGCUGGUGAACUGCUUCCUGCCUGUCUGUCCCACUAGACUGUAAACCCCGCCAAGACGGAGGACUGUGACUUUAGCUCAUGAUUCACUGUACCCCUGGCACCUAGCCCAAGGCAUAGCACGUACUGGUGUUUUUAAAUAUUAGUUGGAUAAAAAAGAAAACUUGCUUUUCUAUUAAUUAUAGUUAGGGAGAAUUGUGGUAUAAUUUCAAAAAGAUACAUGUAUCUCCCCCCAAAAAUGAAAAAUAGGGGUCUUGCCUGGUGGCGAAGUGGUUAAGUUUGCAUGCUUCACUUGGGCGGCCUGGGGUUCGUGGGUUCAAAUCCUGGGCGUGGACCUACACACUGCUCAUCAAGCCAUGCUGUGAUGGCGUCCCACGUACAAAAUAGAGAAAGAUUGGCAACAGAUGUUAGCUCAGGGCCAAUUUUCCUCACCAAAGAACAAAAAAAUUAAAAAUGGAGUUACCAUAUGAUCCAGCAAUUCCACUUCUGGGUGUAUAUCCAAAUGUAUUGAAAGCAGAGACUUAAAGAGGUAUAUGUGCGCCCACACUCAUAGCGGCAUCAUUCACAAUAGCCGAAAGGUGGAAGCACCCCAAGUGCCCAUUGACGGAUGAAUGGAUAAACAAAUGUGGUGUGUAUAAAAAGGAAGGACAUCGGACAUGUGGAUGAACCUUGAGGACAGAUGCUAAAUGAAGUAAGUCAACCACAAAAAGAGAAAUACUCUGUGAUCCCCCUUGUGUGAGGCACCUAGAGUAGGCAAAUUCAUAGAGACAGGAAGCAGAAUGGGUGUGGCCAGGGGUUAGGAGAAGUGAGGGAUGGGGAGUUGUUGUUUAAUGGGUACAGAGUUUCAGUUUUGCAAGAUGGAAAGAGUUCUGGAGCUGGAUGGUGGUGGGGAUGGUGGCACAGCAAUGUGAGCAUACUUAAUACCGCUGAACUGUGUGUUUAAAAAUGGUGAAGAUUGUACAUUUUCUGUUCUCUGUGGUUUGCUACAAUUAAGAAAAGAGAUAUGGAAGGAUGCAAAAAAAAAAAAGAUACUGUGUAUGUGUGCACGUGCGUGUGUGUGUGGGAAUGAGAGUGAGUGGGUUUAGAGAGAGUGUGACAGAGGAAAGGAAGGGAGAUAUGAAUGGAGAGGCCACCAAAGGAGUUGACAGUGUCUGCCGGGAAGAGAAGUAGUUAUGCUGGAGGGAAAAGCAUCUGGGUGGUUCCCAGUGCCUGGGGUUGUAAUCAGAGCCCUGUCUCCAGCUAGCUGUGGGAUCUUGAACAAAUCAUUCAUUUCCUGUUGCGGGCAUCAGCUUUUAAAAGGAGCUGGAAUAGACCUCUGAAAAGCUUUCUGGCUCAAAAAACUUCAGAGGUUUUAAGCAUCUAACAAGGUUGAUGGCUCUGUUCGAGGUGUUAAUGUUAUCAGAAGCCUGACCUCCACAUGGUGAGCAGUUUACUCUCUGUCUGCUUUGAAGGACUUGCUAGGCCCAUCAAGGGUCUAUAAAUACAUUUGCUUUUCCAUUUGUUUGUUAUAUACCCCUAAAUCUGUGCCUGUGGCUGCUGAUUUUCACCCCCUCUUCUUUCUGCAACGCCUCAUUCUUAAGUAUGUUUGAAAAGCAGCGACUUCUCUAGGAUCAAAACAACCAAGUCAUUUGCUUGAAGAAGAAUUUUAGGAUGAGGAUUUAAAAAGAAAAUCAAAUUUCUUUUAAAUAUUUCAAUAUGACUCCCUGAAAAGAUAAAAAUUCUUUUUGUAACACAUCAACACCAUACGAUUAUCAUAUGUAAGAAAUGAACAAUAAUUCAUUUCUUAAUAUCACUGAAUAUUCAUGUUCAGAUUUCUUGAUUGUCUUAUAUUUUUUCAUAGUCAGUUAAAAAUACCUCAGGGUAAUCAAAGAAUUUAAACAAGGUCCACACAUUGCAUUUGGUUGAUGUAUCUCUUAAGUCUCUCUCUUUUUUUUUUUUUGAGGAAGAUUAGUGCUAACAUCUGCUGCCAAUCCUCCUCUCUUUUGUUAAGAAAGACUGGCCCUGAGCUAACAUCUAUGCCCAUCUUCCUCUAUUUUAUAUGUGGGAUGCCUGCCACAGCAUGGCUUGUCAAGCAAUGUUAGGUCCUCACCCGGGAUCCAAACCGGCGAACCUCGGGCUGCUGAAGCAGAACGUGCGCACUUAACCCCUGUACCACUGGGCUGGCCCUUCUUAGCUGCCUUUUAAUAUAUGGUUUUCCUGUCCUCCUCUUGUUUCUCUCUUGCAAUAUAUUUGGUCAAGAAGCUGGAAUUUUUGUCCUGGGAGUUCCCUGCGUGUAGAUUUCGCUGCCAACGUCCCUGUGUUAUCAUUGAACAUGUUUCAUUGUCCCCCACAUUUCUUGUAAACUAAAGGCUUCAUAAGAUUUAGGUUCAGAUUUUGGGGCAGGAAUAUCUCAUAGAUGAUGAUGUAACUUUUAUCAGGUGACACAUUCUGUCCUUUUCUGAAACCUUAAUAUUGACGGGUGCUGUUAAUCUGAGCAUCCAUUAUUAGGGAGCCCAUCAGUUUUUUCUGUCCUGGUUUUAGCAGCCGUUGAUGACCCAUAAUGGAUGCCUAGAUCCCUUCUUUAUUUAGGGGGUACAAAAAGGUGAUAUUCUUGUUCUGUUAUUUCUUCUGCAUUUUAUUAGCUGGAAAAUUUCUAUAAAGAAGAACUGUAUUUCAACAUUUUUUUUAUUACCUUGAGGCACAGUUUGUAUAUAGAAGGCAGAAUAAUGGCUUGAUUCUUUCUUUUUAUUUACCAGAAUAAUGAAUUAGUUCCAUAUUAUCCUUCCCAGAGCAUAAGUGAAUUUUUGAAGAAAGACAUUAUUAUGAACUCUUGGAUUCUUAAUAUGUUUGACAUUGGGGUAAGGAUUUGGUAGAAACAGUAAUGAAAAUAGCCUCUUCUUUUAGAUGUCUAAAUUCUAGUUGAUAAAUGCUUCUAGAAAAUAAGAGAAAGGAGGGAAGGGGAGAUGUGGUGUGAGAAAGUAAGAUACUAGAAACCUAUAAGCAUAGUUGAAUGAGGAUGGAAGUAGGGAAAAGAAUAAAGAUGCUAUGGGGCCGGCCCCGUGGCUGAGUGGUUAAGUUCGCGCCCUCUGCUUUGGCGGCCCGGGGUUUCGCCGGUUCAGAUCCUGGGCCCAGACAUGGCACCACUCGUCAGGCCAUGCUGAGGUGGCGUCCCACAUGCCACAACUAGAAGGAUCCACAACUAAAAUAUACAACUAUGUCCAGGGGGAUUUGGGAGAAAAAGCAGAAAAAAAGGAGAUUGGUAAUAGUUGUUAGCUCAGGUACCAAUCUUUAAAAAAACAAAAAGAAUAAAGAUGCUAAAAAUAAGAGAUGAAAAAAUAAUAGGGACCAUUUGAGAAAGAGAGGAGCGAGGGGUGGUGAGGGAGGUGAUGGGCUGUUGAGGAGUGUGUUGGGAUAAGGUUGCAUAGGGCCUUGCAGGCCACUGGAAGUACUUUGGGGCCAUUGCAUGCACAUGAUCAUACUUAUUUUUUUUAACAUGAGAAUAUACUGUUGUGGGGAAGAAUCAAGGGCAGAAUCAGUAAGACCAAGUAGGAGGUCACAGUGACUGGGGUGCUGGGGACAGAGCUGGUGAGCAGCAGCCACAUUCUUGAUACGUUUUGGAGGUAGAACCGAAAGAAUUCGCUGAUGGAUGGGGUGUGAGGUGUGAGAGAGGAGGGGUCCAGGACAGGGACGAGCCACUGUAUUUGGGGGAUGAGAGGUAACGGUGGUGGACCUUGGCUGCUCCAGGCUCCCCGGGCCCCGCCUUGCCCUUCAGCAGGUGGGAGGAGUUCAAGGCUGGGGGUAAGAAGGCUUGUCUACUGAGCUCUUCAUUCUUGAGUGGUCUGUGAGUUGCUGGACGGGUUCAUUCCAUGCAUUCAUUCCCUGGUGGACCAGUCACCUCUUUCAACUCGGUGACCACAGCCUGCACCCCUAGCCCUGCCUAGUACCAGCCACAAAAAUGGCCAGGGUUUGGGGAGGUCACUACUGAAUCUCUAAUGGACACACGACUCAGAAGACAAGCCCUCUGAUGGAGUAGAAGCUGCUUCUGUGAGGGAGAAAUGCUUGUAUCUUGAGAACAAAGGUGGCUGAGAACUCAUUCCUCCCUUGCGUAUCCCUAAUAGAGUUGGUUUUGGUCUUAAAUACUCUUGGGCGUGAUGGGCUAUGCUCCGUGUCUUGGAGGUAGUUUCAGAUCCACCAGAUCUCUUUGCUUAUUCCUGCGGUUUUCUUACAGGAGUGUCUUAAGCGUGCUUUGCUUCUUCACCCCUCCUUCCUUGCACUCCGAGGGAUAGAACAGGGGUAGGCAAAUUACAGCCCACCGGCCUGUUUUUGUAAAUAAAUUUUUAUUGGAACGCAGCCACAUCUAUUUGUGAUUAUUACCUAUGGUUACUUUCGUACUCUGAUGGCAGAGUUGAGUAAUUGCCUGUACAAAGCCUGAAAUAUUGACUCUUUGGCCCUUUACAAAAAGAAAGUUUGCUGAUCUCUGGGUUGGAAGAUAAGCAGAGGAUGAAUAAGGCUCUUAGCACGUGGGUCACACAAAAUAUUUGUGGUUUGUCACUGAAAUGCUGCUCAGCCUUGGUAGAUGUGAGUGUGAAAUUCUGUGGCUCACAAAUUGUGGCUUAAAAUCAUUAAAAUAGUUUUAUUUUUCUUUAUUCAUUCUUCUACACAUUAGAUGACAUUAUCGUUUAUAGUUGGUAGGAGAUAUAAUUCAGCAUGGUUAGGGUCACAUUAAUGAUGGUGUCAUUUUUACUGGGCAGAUGGUUGAAUAUUAAUAACCCUGAAGUUCAGUGUUUAAGUCCCGCUUUGCAUACCGUCUUCCUUGGAGAGUGUAAACCUUUCUCUUCCAUCUGAGUGUACUAGUAUGUCAUUUGUUUUGCCUUUGUGUGAGCAAGAAUUCUCAUUUUUUCAAUGAAUGCCUCAUGCUAAGGAUUUUCAAAAUAAGUACCCUUGCAGUUUUUCCCCCCUAAAUGGAACUCAGUUAGUUUUAUCUAAGCUGUUCCUUUUGUCUUGGGCUAUUAUUGUGUGUUACAUUAUUAUGGCUGUGGAAUUCUUUUUGUAGAAAAAAAAUUGAAAUAGAUUUAAAAUAGGACGGACUUUUCUUUCUUAAUUGCAUCUUAGUGUAAUAAAAUCCAGAGUGCAAUUGUUAAAAAUGGUAGAAGGGAAGAAUUAAAACAAUAAAAUUGCUUGGCAUAGCUCCUGUUUCAUAAUAUUCGGAUAUAAUUGGUAUUAUAAUGUGUAAUUAACAAACUUUCACUAAAGUUGAAGCUUAAGUUUGGGCGGGCAGGGCACCUUUUAGGACACAGUGACGUCUGAAUUAGCUCUUAUGGUAGCAUUUCAGAACCUGUGCACACAUUGUGGCAUCUUCCUACCCGCCUCGUUAGUUGCUUUCUUUUUGAGGAAUGUUAGCUCUGAGCUAACAUCUGCUGCCAAUCCUCCUCUUUUUUGCUGAGGAAGACUGGCCCUGAGCUAACAUCCAUGCCCAUCUUCCUCUACUUUAUAUGUGGGACACCUAUCGCAGCAUGGCUUGCCAAGCGGUGCCAUGUUCUCACCCAGGGUCCGAACCAGUGAACCCCGGGCUGCUAAAGCAGAAUGUGCAAACUUAACCGCUGUGCCACUGGGCCAGCCCCUCGUUAGUUGCUUUUUUGUGGUAGAGACAGACAGUAAACUAAGGGCUUGGGACAGAGAGUCCCAAGUGUUGGGAGCAACACUUGACCAGCCACCCAUGCCUAUCCUGGGUUGGUCAGGGAAGAGAGCAGAAGACAAACUCCCGAAUACAGGCUGUGGCUUUAGCUCAGGCUGCAGGGUCAUCUCCUGGAGUAGAUCACGUGGAGGACCUUUUUUGCCCAGGUGUCCGGUUAGCCUGGGGCUUAUGCUUAAAACAGGCCGAGAAGCCUCCUUCACUCAUUUUCUGGACCCACCCCCGAACCUGGCCCCAUGGAUGUUAUUGCAGCUAUGGCCAGGAAUGAUGGGUCCAAGGAAAAAGAGGGGAAGGGAAUACAUCCCAGGCUCAGGGCUUGAGCCUCAGUUUCCCCAUGGCCCACGUUAGCUCCCUGAGGAUUGGGAGACCAGAACAUGCAAGAAUGCAAAUAAAAGUACUGGCAGAGAACAUUCCAGACAUAUCUGGCUUUUAUUCGCUACUCCUUUGGUUCAAGAGUUCCUUGGCCAUGUCCUGCCAUGUCCAGGCUCUUCUCAGAGACACGGUUAUGGGUGCCAUUCAUCGCCCCCUGGUGGAGGAAGUUACUCUGUGUGACUGUAGAGAGGCUGAUGUCAAAACACCCGCCCCACAGCUUAUCUUUUGAAAGCGUCAUGUGGGGAGGAUGGGGAGGCAACAUUGCCCAGUACACUUAUUUGAAUGAGGCUACUGCUUAAAAAUUUGGAGCCUCUUCUCUGGAAAUAGCUUUUAGAGUCUCUAGCGUAUUCUUUGGAAUAUCUUUAUCAGUUUCUCUUUUUGGGCCGUUUUGAUUUUCGGUAAAAUUCUUAAGGCAGUUGCCUCUCAAUUGGUUUUCUACUUCCAUUCUUGUCUGCAUAAUGUCCAUUCCCCAGAGUGUAGCUAGAGGAUCUGAAUUGCAAUCAAAUCUCUUUACUCCUCUGCUUGGAACUUCCAGUGGCUUCCUAUUCCCAUGGGUGUGAAAACCAGACUUGAAGCCAGACUUCCUGCCUGGCUGCAAGGCCUCAAGUGAUUUGUCGACCCCCCCGCUCCCCCAUUUCCUCUUAACUUCAGGCACUUCCCAUACCUUCUUUCUGGGACUAGAACACAGCGGCCUCAGGCUUCCUCCUGCAUGCCUGGAAUACUCUUCCUCCAGCUCCACCUGGCCAGCUCUUCACUUCCUGCAGGGCUUUGCUCUAACGUCACUUCACCAAACAAGCCCCCUCCACACACACUCUCCCUAGCCCCCUCCUCACCCCCGACUACACUGCUCUAGUCUCGUCAUCAUACUCAGGCCAUCAGAACCCUCUUUCUUAUUCACUGAUAUGUUCCUUUAGAGCAAAGGGUUGCCAAGGUCACCUGUGGCCCGUUGCCUUGAUCAGAGGCUGCCGCCACAGCGUAGCUGCCCUCAUUCAGAUAAGUCUGCUAUGCAGGGUACAUUGCUCGGUUGAAUAGCGUCUUGUAAGUAGUUCCCCAAGAUGACUACACUGAGGGAAGAGUUCAGAUUCGGAAAAAUGUGUUCUGAUCUAUCUUGAUAACCAAACCAAACCAAGACAGUUUCUUUAUCAAAGCUCAUGUGUUGGAUUGGCCCACAGUGCAGAGGCUCAUGAUGUGGGACAUCUACUGUCUCCCCGUAGUGUGAGACCGCAGUGGCCUCUGCGCUGUGGCCCCCAGCACAGUACAGUUUCACUUGAGUAACAAGGAGAUUCGUGUCGAUCAGAGUCUCUCAACCUCACAGCUGCCAACACUUUGGGCUGAAUCAUUCUUUGUGGUACAGGCUGUCCUGAGUGCUGAGGACGUUUAGCAGUGUCCCCGGACUCUGCCCAUUAGAUGCUAGGACACUGCCCCAGUUGCGACAACCGGUGUCUCCAGACACUGCCAAACGUCCCUAGGGAGGGAGGAGUAAAAUCUCCCUUGUUGGGAACCACUGGUCUAGAAACACCUCCUUGCUCCAGAUUCUAGCAUUAACAUUUUAUACCAUCUUUCAUUAUUUAUCCAUCAGUGUGGAUCACAUUUGCAAGGGUAUAAGAAAGCGCUUUGAAACAAUAGCAUGUUACUCAAAUUUGGAUCGUGUUGAAGACUGAAGUUGUGUUUUAUCAUCUCCAUUUGUGGUCUCAGUGUCUUUGUCGUUGACCUGAGUUUUGCCUUCAUCAUUUAGGACCUCUUUCCCCCUCUAACAAAGGAGGCGGCUCUUCUUUGCUAAUGUAUUGUGUUAGGUUGAUGCUUAAAAUCACAGUCUUCGCUGGAAGGAAUCUUGAAGGAUCUUUGAGGAAUAAAUGUCCAAUUAAUGUCAACGUCAUCAUUGUUAUCUUGGUCUUCCCGUUAUGCUAAAGAUGAGGAAACUAAAGCCCAAAGAAGGACGGUGAGUCACCAGAGUUGUGGUUAGUGGUAGAGCCAUGACCUUGUGAGUGUUUCUGGGGAAUUUUCUUGGACUUUGUGUUCUGUGUGUGUUGAUGCUGUGAUGAGCAGAGCUCUCUGGGGCUCUGACCUCACCCGCAAGAGCCCUGCUGGAGCCUGGCCAUGAAGUGCCACUGUCCUAGGCUGGUGAAGGAUUUGCUGACAGAGAGCUUUAAAAAAGAGCAUCAGGGAGGAGAUUAGGGGAGUCAGAGAAAGGGAGGGACGGAAGAGUACCUUAAAGGGCAUAGACAUUUAACUGAAAAGGGACAACUGUGUGCGAAAAACAAUGCAAAGGAAAUAAAAAGAGGAGGGAGGAGGGAAUCCUGGAUAAAGGAACUGAAAAAUCCAGUCAACCAAAUGCCAUGUGUAGAUCUUAGAUCUUGAUUUGAACAGACCAACUUUGUGUGUGUGUGAGUGAGAGAGAGAGAGAGAGAGAGGAGAAAGAGAGAGAGAACAUCAGAGACAUUUAUAAACUAAAUGGAUAAUUGGUAGCAUAGAAGAAUUUUUGGGGGGCUGUAAAAAUACUAUUGUGAUUAUGUUUCAGAAAAAAGUCCUUCUCUUUUAGCAAUUAAAGUAUUAGCAUAUUAAAGUAUUUGUGGAUGGUAUAAUCUGAUGCUUGAGAUUGUCUUCAAAAUAAAUAAUCCUGUAUGGGAGGAUCAUAGUGAAAUAGGAUUGAAUAGUUGAAGCUGGAUUAUAGGUACAUGGAGAUUAUGUAACCGUAAGAAAAAUUUCCAUAAUAAAAAGUUAAAAAAAUUAAAAGCUGACCAACUUUGGUAAAUUUCAAACUUCUUUGAAAUAAGAAUAAAUAAUAAUAAACAGCUUGAGACAUUUGUCAAUUUUUUAAUCUUAUGUUUUUUUUUAAAGAUUGGCACUUGAGCUAACGUCUGUUGCCAAUCUUCUUCUUUUCCUCUUCUUCUUCUUCUCCCCAAGGCCCCCAGUACGUAGUUGUAUAUUCUAGCUGUAGGUCCUUCUAGGUGUGCUGUGUGGGACGCUGCCUCAGCAUGGCUUGAUGAACGUUGCUAGGUCUGCGCCCAGGAUCCAAACCGGGGAAACCCUGGGCUGCCAAAGCAGAGUGCAUGAACUCAACCACUCGGCCACGGGCCGGCCCCUAAUCUUAUUUUAAAGAGACUCUUCCAAGCCCAGCAGAUGCUCCCCAGUUUUCCCGCAAAAGUCCCUUUGCCCUGAGUGAUAGGCAGAUGUGGCAACAGGAGCUGGAGGAAGCUUGCCCUCACCAGGUCAGCAGUGAGGCUGCCCCUCCUCACGCAUUUCGCUGCUGGCUUCCACCAGCUCUCGUCUUCUCUGUGCCAGCAGAGAACCUCUGGUGUCCCCGGAGAGUUGUGGUGCUCCUGGGAAAGACACAUGAGUAUUGACACACUCAUGACAAUCCCUCCGUCCCUUCUGCCCCCUCCGAGAAGUGAUCUGUGGACCAACUUAUUUUUUUUCCACAUUUAUUUUAUUUAAAUAUCGUAUGAGUAAUAUAUGCUUUUUGUAAAAACCAUGCAGAGUAAAAAUGAAAGUUCUCCUUCUUUCUCUCUCCUCCUAUCAAUUUCAUUGACCUUUCCAGAAGUAACCAUUAGUGAUAAAAUGAUGAGUAUCUUUUUACGUCUUUUUUUGUUAUUAGCACCAUGUCAGAGUUUUGUGUUUUUCUAAUCAAAAAAAAAAAAAUUUUUAAGCGAUCACAGGAAUUUGAGAGUAUAGUUCUAGAGAACUUUCUUUUCCCCACCUGCAACUCCUCCCUUCUCCGGAACCACUUGGGAGUAAGUUACCGACGAACCCCAGCACCCUGGAAUUCUUAGGCCUGUUUCCUACCGCCAUGGCAUUCUGUGCACAAUCACAAUAUAGUCACUAGUAUCAGGAAAUUAACAUCAACACGUUGCCAACUUCUAAUCCUCAGGCCCCAGUCACAUUUUGCCUAUUAUUCCCGUAAUGUCUUUUCUACGCAAAAAGAUCUAGCUCUGAAAGAUGUGUUGUAUUUACUUGUCAUGUCUCUGAGCACCUGUUAUGAGCUAUGCCUUGUUCUAAACCCUUGGAAUUUAUCAGCCCAAAAUAUAGACAAAAAUGUGUCUUUGUGGAGCUUGCAUUCUAGCAGGGGAGACAAAAAGCCAAUAAACACAACAAACACUUAAUCUUGUAGGUUGGUAGCAGGAGUGAAAUGCUACAGAUAAAGGAUAGCAGGGUGCAAGGCGAUUGCACUGCAAUUUUAAAUACAUUGGUCAGGACUGGUCUGAUGAGAGGGGGCUUUUGGGCAAACACUGGAAGGAAGUGUGGAUAUUAAGGAAGAACAUUCUGGAAAGAGGUUAUAAGAGCCAGUGCCAAGGCUGUGAGGAGGGGGCAUCCCUCUGUCUGACCAGGGAGCGGGCUAGUAGAGAAGGGCUCAGUGAGGUGAGUGGGCCAGGUCAUUCGAUCUUUGUAGGGCAGUUAAUUUUUUACCCUUUUUUGGCUAUUUCCAUUUUAACCCAUGGACACACCUUCAUUCUAUUACUGCUCUUUCAUCCGAUGACUUUCCCUAGACCCCACCUUUUCCUAAUAUUUCUUGACAUCCCCCCACUGAAGUUCUCUCUGGUCUUGAUGGGUGAGACUUGGGACUCUGGUUUAGUUCAUCCUCCUGGCCACUUUCUAUCUGACUCUUCUUUAACUUUUCCCUGGCCCGUCUUCUUUCCUCCCUUGCUCAUGGCUUUGCCUUUCUUAGCACAUUCUGCCUUUGUGCUUACUCUAGAGCAGGUUUUGUUCGAAGUGCUUAACGGUUACUAACUAAUUUAAUCAUCAGGAGCGAGCUUGGGCAAUGGGCACUAUUGCUUUUUCUGUUUUAUGAGUGAUGACAUUGAGGUACCGAGAGAAUGCGUAACUUGCCGGUGGUCCCACAGCUAGGAAGUGCUGGGGCCCAGUCCCUGGCCAUUUGCUUCCAGCAUGUGGGCUCUUAGCCACUGUGUGAUGGACACGUGUCCGUAGCUGACCUCCCUCCUGAGCUUCAGCCCAAUCACUCCACUUUCUCAGGGAUGCAUAACAAAUAACUACAAAUGCAGGGUCUUAAAACAACACACACACUUAGGAGCUCACGGGUCUGUGAGUCAGGAGUCUGGGCAGUUUCGUGGGUCGUAAGGUUAUAAUUUAGCUGUUGCCCAGGCUGCAUUCUCAUCUGGAUGCUGGUCUGGGGAAGAAGCUGCCUCCAGGCUUGUUGCUGGUAUAGGGAGAGUUCAUUUCCUUGGGGUUAUGGGACUGAGAGCUCUGGAUUCUUCCUGGCUGUCAGCUGGACGCUGUUCUUACCUCGUAGCGGCUGACCACAUGUCCUGAGACAGGGGCCCCUCCAUAGGCAGUUCACAACCUGGAAGUUUGUCUGCUAAGAUGGAGUCUUAUAGAAUGAAAUGUAGCCAGUGGAGUGACAUCCCAUCAGCUUUGCCAUAUUCUCUUGGUUAGAGUCAAAUCACAGGUCCUGCCCACAUUUGAUGGGAGGGGCUGGGGUCCCCUUAGGAUGUGCCCUCCAUAGGAUGCCUCACUGAUUUGGAAAAUUCACCCUGAAACCAGAACUCACCAUUUUCCCUCUUCCCAAUUCCUGAUGUCUGUUAGCAUUACGUCUGGUCUUCCAGCCACCAGAUUUUUAGCCUGGCCAUUAACAAUUGAUAUCUCUCUUUCUUUGUCAUUUCCAUCAUUCUUUCACUUAUUAAGUCCUCUCAAAUUUUCCUGGAAGUGUCCUUUGAAAUCUAUCUUCCUAAUCACUGACUUUUGUACCUCUCUCUCUCUCUCUGUUUUUGUCUUUCUCUGACACACACUCACAUACACCCAGCCACCCACCCACCCACACACACAGGUAUUGGGUUUCCCCUAGAGUCUAAUGUUAACCUAAUUUUCCAGCCUUUUCCUGAUGUUGUCUCCUGUUUCCUGGGUUGUCUCCCUUCUGCAUUUCUGCCCUGUUGGUUCAGAGCUCUUGUCCCCCAGGGAUGUCUUCAGUGCCCCCUCCAGCUGUUGCCAGCAGUGUUCUUCCCACCUCGCUCAAGCAUCCUGGAUUGCCCCUCUCUCUGAGCUCCACUUAUCCCUGUGCUCUUCACCUGGCUUCAUGCUGGAACCAUCAAGGUCACUUGAAUUGGAUUACUCAACCGUGUCUAGACUUGGCUAACUUCCCUGUACACAGAAUUUUUUUUUUUUAUUAAAGUAAUGUUGGGUGAAUUAUCUGAAUUAAAAUGCUCAUGAGAAAAAUAUGAUAUAGUAAAUCAAGUAUGCUCUUUGGCUGUCUGAGUCCCCCUGGAUGCCUGUCCCUUUGGCUGGCUCUGCCUCAGGUUGGGCACCCCAGACAUCCGCAGGCGUGGUUGAUGGCCAGCACCAGAAUGCCUGUGGCCCAGUUGACUGGCCGCACCUUCUGCUCGAGGCCUGAUUUAUGCACAGCUCAGAGCUACAAACCUCUCUGCGCUGUCAUACAGGUGACAAGGCCUCUCCUUGCAUG
This 14166-nucleotide long non-coding RNA is filed under the name Equus caballus (horse). RNAcentral's name for it is "lncRNA (ENSECAG00000055063.1)". Lineage: Eukaryota; Metazoa; Chordata; Mammalia; Perissodactyla; Equidae. The record is from RNAcentral.